RNAcentral lists this unclassified non-coding RNA (320 nucleotides) under plant metagenome. RNAcentral's name for it is "partial contains 5.8S ribosomal RNA, internal transcribed spacer 2, and large subunit ribosomal RNA". The stretch from base 1 to 105 matches the Rfam family "5.8S ribosomal RNA", at positions 50 to 154 of the family's 154-position model. The record is from RNAcentral.
GAAAUGCGAUAAGUAAUGUGAAUUGCAGAAUUCAGUGAAUCAUCGAAUCUUUGAACGCACAUUGCGCCCGCCAGUAUUCUGGCGGGCAUGCCUGUUCGAGCGUCAUUACAACCCUCAGGCCCCCGGGCCUGGCGUUGGGGAUCGGCGGAAGCCCCCUGCGGGCACAACGCCGUCCCCCAAAUACAGUGGCGGUCCCGCCGCAGCUUCCAUUGCGUAGUAGCUAACACCUCGCAACUGGAGAGCGGCGAGGCCACGCCGUAAAACACCCAACUUCUGAAUGUUGACCUCGAAUCAGGUAGGAAUACCCGCUGAACUUAAGC